RNAcentral lists this ribosomal RNA (588 nucleotides) under uncultured bacterium. Its description in RNAcentral is "partial 16S ribosomal RNA". It matches the Rfam family "Bacterial small subunit ribosomal RNA", at positions 355 to 1376 of the family's 1533-position model. The record is from RNAcentral.
UGGGGAAUAUUGGGCAAUGGGCGCAAGCCUGAUCCAGCAAUGCCGCGUGUGUGAAGAAGGCCUUCGGGUUGUAAAGCACUUUUAUCAGGAGCGAAACGCUGUCGGCUAAUACCCGGCGGAACUGACGGUACCUGAGGAAUAAGCACCGGCUAACUUCGUGCCAGCAGCCGCGGUAAUACGAAGGGUGCAAGCGUUAAUCGGAAUUACUGGGCGUAAAGCGUGCGUAGGCGGUUUCUUAAGUCUGCUGUGAAAUCCCCGGGCUCAACCUGGGAAUGGCAGUGGAUACUGGGAGGCUAGAGUGUGUCAGAGGGUGGUGGAAUUCCCGGUGUAGCGGUGAAAUGCGUAGAGAUCGGGAGGAACAUCAGUGGCGAAGGCGGCCACCUGGGACAACACUGACGCUGAGGCACGAAAGCGUGGGGAGCAAACAGGAUUAGAUACCCUGGUAGUCCACGCCCUAAACGAUGCGAACUGGAUGUUGGUCUCAACUCGGAGAUCAGUGUCGAAGCUAACGCGUUAAGUUCGCCGCCUGGGGAGUACGGUCGCAAGACUGAAACUUAAAUGAAUUGACGGGGUCAUAGCUGUUUCCUG